Small nucleolar RNA from Pseudophryne corroboree (corroboree frog), 87 nucleotides. RefSeq annotates it as small nucleolar RNA SNORA17. The transcript has a single exon. The record is from RefSeq and is a predicted model, not a curated record. NCBI's taxonomy places the organism in Eukaryota, Metazoa, Chordata, Amphibia, Anura, Myobatrachidae.
UGUAGCACGUGUCGCAGCUGUGUCAGGCGACACAGCUGCGACCCGUGCUACAGUGGAAAAUGGGUAUGUCUGUGAAACCCAUCUAGA